AACGUACGCUGGCGGCACGCCUAACACAUGCAAGUCGAACGAAGUAGCAAUACUUAGUGGCAGACGGGUGAGUAACAUGUGGGUAUCUGCCCUUUGGCCUGGAAUAACACGAGGAAACUUGUGCUAAUACCGGAUAAGUCUUUACGGAGAAAGCUUUAUGCACCAUUGGAUGAGCCCGCACUUGAUUAGUUUGUUGGUGGGGUAAUGGCCUACCAAGACUGUGAUCAAUAGCUGAUUUGAGAGGAUGAUCAGCCACAUUGGGACUGAGACACGGCCCAAACUCCUACGGGAGGCAGCAGUGGGGAAUCUUGCACAAUGGAGGAAACUCUGAUGCAGCGAUGCCGCGUGAGUGAAGAAGGCCCUUGGGUUGUAAAGCUCUUUCGUCGGGGAAGAAAAUGACUGUACCCGAAUAAGAAGGUCCGGCUAACUUCGUGCCAGCAGCCGCGGUAAUACGAAGGGACCUAGCGUAGUUCGGAAUUACUGGGCUUAAAGAGUUCGUAGGUGGUUGAAAAAGUUAGUGGUGAAAUCCCAGAGCUUAACUCUGGAACUGCCAUUAAAACUUUUCAGCUAGAGUAUGAUAGAGGAAAGCAGAAUUUCUAGUGUAGAGGUGAAAUUCGUAGAUAUUAGAAAGAAUACCAAUUGCGAAGGCAGCUUUCUGGAUCAUUACUGACACUGAGGAACGAAAGCAUGGGUAGCGAAGAGGAUUAGAUACCCUCGUAGUCCAUGCCGUAAACGAUGUGUGUUAGACGUUGGAAAUUUAUUUUCAGUGUCGCAGCGAAAGCGAUAAACACACCGCCUGGGGAGUACGACCGCAAGGUUAAAACUCAAAUGAAUUGACGGGGACCCGCACAAGUAGUGGAGCAUGUGGUUUAAUUCGAAGAUACGCGCAGAACCUUACCAACACUUGACAUGUUCGUCGCGACUCUAAGAGAUUAGAGUUUUCGGUUCGGCCGGACGAAACACAGGUGCUGCAUGGCUGCCGUCAGCUCGUGUCGUGAGAUGUUGGGUUAAGUCCCGCAACGAGCGCAACCCUCACUUUUAGUUGCCAUCAUUAAGUUGGGCACUCUGAAAGAACUGCCAGUGAUAAGCUGGAGGAAGGUGGGGAUGACGUCAAGUCCUCAUGGCCCUUACGUGUUGGGCUACACACGUGCUACAAUGGUAUCUACAACAGGAAGCAAGACUGCGAGGUCAAGCAAAUCCUUAAAAGAUACCUCAGUUCGGAUUGCACUCUGCAACUCGAGUGCAUGAAGCUGGAAUUACUAGUAAUCGUGGAUCAGCGUGCCACGGUGAAUGCGUUCCCGGGUCU
This 1306-nucleotide ribosomal RNA is filed under the name uncultured bacterium. Its description in RNAcentral is "bacterial SSU rRNA". It matches the Rfam family "Bacterial small subunit ribosomal RNA", at positions 28 to 1381 of the family's 1533-position model. The record is from RNAcentral.